GGGUGCUUGAGGCUAUCUGGGCUUUGAGCAUUUGUAAGGUCCCGGAAAGACAAAAGCCCCAGGAGAUAGUUCUAUCAACCUGAGGCUAGCGUACAAACCUGAACAAUUUGGAUGUUAGUCUCUUCUUUGCAGGGAGGCAAGACAUGCUGACAAAAUAUG
Non-coding RNA from Escherichia coli ISC11, 159 nucleotides. Lineage: Bacteria; Pseudomonadati; Pseudomonadota; Gammaproteobacteria; Enterobacterales; Enterobacteriaceae. The record is from Rfam.